AACGAACGCUGGCGGCAGGCCUAACACAUGCAAGUCGAGCGGACCUUUCGGGGUCAGCGGCGGACGGGUGAGUAACGCGUGGGAAUAUGCCCUUCUCUACGGAAUAGUCCUGGGAAACUGGGGGUAAUACCGUAUACGCCCUUUGGGGGAAAGAUUUAUCGGGGAAGGAUUAGCCCGCGUUGGAUUAGGUAGUUGGUGGGGUAAUGGCCUACCAAGCCGACGAUCCAUAGCUGGUUUGAGAGGAUGAUCAGCCACACUGGGACUGAGACACGGCCCAGACUCCUACGGGAGGCAGCAGUGGGGAAUCUUAGACAAUGGGGGCAACCCUGAUCUAGCCAUGCCGCGUGAGUGAUGAAGGCCUUAGGGUGGUAAAGCUCUUUCAGCUGGGAAGAUAAUGACGGUACCAGCAGAAGAAGCCCCGGCUAACUCCGU
RNAcentral lists this ribosomal RNA (432 nucleotides) under uncultured bacterium. RNAcentral's name for it is "partial 16S ribosomal RNA". It matches the Rfam family "Bacterial small subunit ribosomal RNA", at positions 29 to 506 of the family's 1533-position model. The record is from RNAcentral.